Molecule: regulatory RNA element, 71 nt
Organism: Arthrobacter alpinus
Lineage: Bacteria; Bacillati; Actinomycetota; Actinomycetes; Micrococcales; Micrococcaceae
Rfam family: Actino-pnp RNA
Source: Rfam
CGCGGUCCUCGGUAGUGGUCUCCGGGAGAAGCCUUUGGGCUUGUACCCGUGGACCUCGAUCGAAGACCGGG